This 243-nucleotide ribosomal RNA is filed under the name uncultured Actinomycetales bacterium. Its description in RNAcentral is "partial 16S ribosomal RNA". It matches the Rfam family "Bacterial small subunit ribosomal RNA", at positions 88 to 334 of the family's 1533-position model. The record is from RNAcentral. Lineage: Bacteria; Bacillati; Actinomycetota; Actinomycetes; Actinomycetales.
UACUCGAGUGGCGAACGGGUGAGUAACACGUGGGUGAUCUGCCCUGCACUUCGGGAUAAGCUUGGGAAACUGGGUCUAAUACCGGAUAGGAGCCAUCUUUAGUGUGGUGGUUGGAAAGUUUUUUCGGUGUAGGAUGAGCUCGCGGCCUAUCAGCUUGUUGGUGGGGUAAUGGCCUACCAAGGCGGCGACGGGUAGCCGGCCUGAUAGGGUGUACGGCCACAUUGGGACUGAGAUACGGCCCAG